UGUCAAUUUUAAGAAGUAACUAAAAUCGGAUGCUACAAAGAAUGGGAAUGUGGCAGAAAACUAAAGAAUUCAUGGCCUAUUGGUAUCUGCAGUAUAUCAUGAACACUGCCCUGUAUAUGCUGGAGCCUUGGGAGAGGAAGCUUUUCAAUUCUGGUUUGAUGGUUGUAAUUGCCAUGUCCUUGUACACUACAUCUUGCUUCCUACCAGGACAUUUUCUGAUGCUGUGGAAAUAUAUUCUCUAUCUCGUAGGACUGGAAUCACAAGAAACAACUCUUGGUGGCAUGGAAACAUUAAAUGAUACCCCAGUGACAUCAUAGCAAAAGGUUUCUGUCUGGAUUAAGAAAAAAUUUAUUAAAACUGGUGAUGAAAAUAGUAUGGAUACAUGGAUACAAAGCACAAUAAAAGGUUUCAGAACAGGAUGGAUGAAAGUACAGCAAAAAAAAUCCAAAAUGUCUCUGUUCAAGUGGGCAAAGAAGAACUAUUUGGUCCAGGUGUGAUAAUGAGCAGGGAAUGUGCCUGUUGAAUGAGGGCCAUACAUAUAGAAUGUGGUAUCACAUUGCUUCACAUUGCCUGAGGGAAACCUGUUGCUUUGUCAGCGUGGCCAUUGAGAUAUAGAGGUAUCAGUAUUCCCAGUAUAUAUUCAAGACCAGCCAGGGACAGACUUGAAUGUAACUACACUGAUAGUUCAGGAAGAAGCGCAUUGAAAAAAUGCUCUACAGUGGUUACUAACAUAGUUACUUAGAUAUACUUUCAACUGCUUCAGGCUCUGAGGUUUUCAUUUUGAUGUCAUAUAUAUAGGAUUUGAUAUAGGUAAAGUGGAACUCUUUUAUGCUUGGUUAAACUCAAACCAUGAAAGUACUCCUGCUGUAAUCAGUAGAUAUAUUUUUCUUUGAAAAAUAAGCAAGGACUAUAUAUCACUGUGUAACGAUUAUGGAGGAUUUGAUUACUAGUAAUUGUCUAUGAACUGAAUAGUCAAUAUGUAUGUAAAUGGCUAUACCUAUUUUGGUCCUGCUAUAAAUGGACAUGUUUCAGCAUUUUGCUUUUGACAAUGGAUAAUGGUAUUUACACCCAAGAAGAGUUGACAUCUCAUUGUCA
Lingula anatina is the source of this 1095-nucleotide long non-coding RNA. Lineage: Eukaryota; Metazoa; Brachiopoda; Lingulata; Lingulida; Lingulidae. The record is from RefSeq and is a predicted model, not a curated record.